AACCUAGCACACCUGCGGUGUGUACCUGCGGAAGGAUCAUUAACGAGUUACCACUCUAUAACCCUUUGUGAACAUACCUACAUGUUGCUUCGGCGGUCGGCCCCCCCGGGCCCCCGGCCCCGCUCACGCGGGGCGUCCGCCGGAGGAUAACCAAACUCUGAUUUAACGACGUUUCUUCUGAGUGGCACAAGCAAAUAAUCAAAACUUUCAGCAAUGGAUCU
This 221-nucleotide unclassified non-coding RNA is filed under the name soil metagenome. Its description in RNAcentral is "partial contains 5.8S ribosomal RNA, internal transcribed spacer 2, and large subunit ribosomal RNA". The record is from RNAcentral.